GCCGGAUUGGCGGAAUUGGUAGACGCGGAGCACUCAAAAUGCUCUAUCGCAAGAUGUGCGGGUUCGAGUCCCGCAUCCGGUACGA
This 85-nucleotide transfer RNA is filed under the name Brevibacterium ravenspurgense. Its description in RNAcentral is "tRNA-Leu". It matches the Rfam family "tRNA". From Rfam's summary of the family: Transfer RNA (tRNA) molecules are approximately 80 nucleotides in length. RNAcentral also lists the same sequence under 3 other names. Lineage: Bacteria; Bacillati; Actinomycetota; Actinomycetes; Micrococcales; Brevibacteriaceae. The record is from RNAcentral.